RNAcentral lists this long non-coding RNA (237 nucleotides) under Vigna radiata. RNAcentral describes it as "long non-coding RNA (VRAD_LNC002931)". The record is from RNAcentral. Lineage: Eukaryota; Viridiplantae; Streptophyta; Magnoliopsida; Fabales; Fabaceae.
GAAAAUCACUAACAAUUAAUGAAAGAAGCAUAAAAUAAUUCAAAUCAUAUUCAAAUACAUAAAAGUUUAGAAGUUACAUCUUUGCCAACAAGAAAUAAGUUUAGUUCUCCAUUGUCAUGGAGAACCUUGAUGUACAAUGGAAUGAAAGUGAGAUGGAAACCCUAAAAAGUGAAGAGGAAAGCUCCCGCAUCCAAUUCUGCCUCCAAAGGGUCGAAGAGAGUGUCUCUACGCUUUUGC